Non-coding RNA from Meleagris gallopavo (turkey), 1959 nucleotides. The record is from RefSeq and is a predicted model, not a curated record. NCBI's taxonomy places the organism in Eukaryota, Metazoa, Chordata, Aves, Galliformes, Phasianidae.
UAUACUACUCUCCGAUGUGUUGGUGUUUGUCUGCUCCUGUGUGCCUGUCAGGAUGUCCCCUCAAUCACAAAGCACUACCAAUUUUGCUUUUAUAGCAACUAAUGGACAUUCUUCUGUGGCACAAGUGUUGGUUGGGAGCUUGUGAUCGUAAACAAAAUUGCUGAGCCCUGUUUAUGGGGCCCCGUUUGUAGCAUUCAGCUGCCAGCUGUGUUGUUUGUGUUUGCUAUAAGUUGUUAGAAAUGGCCACCUUUGUUGAGCUUAGAUCUUUGGCGCAUUUUCUUCACUUUAGCUAGAAAUUCCCAAUGAUUUUUAGAGAGUAUCUGCAAACUAUGAAGAAAAUAGGAGGCAGUAUGCAACAGGAACAGACACCUUGGAAUCCGUUUGCAACAGAAAAAUUAAAGAAGCCACAGCAUGCAGGAAACGCCACAGUCACCCUGCUUUCCCAGGAAGAAGGAACUUAAGAUGAAGGUGGCCGUGGCUUUUUCCUCUCCUGUCUUCUUUCGUGUCACAAAGAAUUAGAGGCAGAUUCUUCAUUGUCUCUGCCACGGUGCAGUGACAAGGUGCCAACUUCGCCGCUUCUCCCAACUGCUGCACAGACCCAAAGAGAACACGUCAUUUGUUAUUUCUGAGAGGGCAGAGCCGUCGUGUUUUACCCUGCUGCUUCCAACAGGGUUCAUCUCCAUUGUAUCCAAAUCUGGAUGGCACUUGGGUGAAGAAUUUUAAGGAUAGACAUGAGAGAUUUUUGAUGAAGGGGGAAAAAAAUGGACUUAGGAACAACAAAGUAGAAAAAUACAAUGUGAGAGAUUUAGAAGAAAAGUGAGGAAACCACCUGAGAGAAGAGGGGAGGGGAGGGGGGGAGGAAGGAGGGAACCGUUAGUUUCAAGGAAGAGGCAACCCUGAGUGAAUUUUAAAUUUUAAGAUGAUCCCUAUUAUGGGCUAUGAUGAAGCCUCAAAUCUUCUUGGAGAGCCUCUAGAGAUGCAUGUAAUAUUGUAGUAGAAAGCCACUUGGAGAUGCUUUGGAAGCUUCUUGAGGAGACAAGUGGUAUAGUUACUGUGAAUCCAAAUAAUUGCUUUUAGAAAGGUACAAAUGGAAUGGCAAUUGGAGUUCCAUAACUGAAGACAAAUAAAAUGUAUCAGACCUAAAACUCCUAGAUGUUCUAAACACUCACUUUUCAACAAUAGAAAAUUGCCAUGAUAUUAAAAUUCGGUAUCCUGGAAUCUGGUUCCCCUUUCUGACUGAAAUCACAGAAUAUCUUCACUUUUUGAUGGUGCAAAGUAAAACUUUUUUUUUCCUUUGUGGGCCUGCGACAUUGCAAGGAAUCAGGUUUUAAAGACAGUAAAACUACUAUAUUUUAUAUUUUAUAAACCUACAGUAAGGAUUAGAAAUAAUCUUUCCUUUCAUAAGUCACUUUGAGUUUACAGAAAUUGCCAAAUUGCAUAGAAGAACAGAAAGAAACAUCCCUGGGAUUUGAUUUUCAAAAAGAGCAAUUGUUCGGUGUACUACAAACUUUGUAGUUGGGACUCCAGAGAGAUGGGCUACUGGUAGGUGAUAAAAAUCUUAGACAGGUGAUAAAUAUGCUGUUUGUAAGCCUUCCUAUGAAGAGGAUUGGUUUUUGAGAAUGUUGCUGUCUAAAAAACUUAUUUUCAUAUUUUCUGGGGCUUCAUUAUGUCACAAGAAAUUUUUUGCUUCUUCGGACAAAUUGCACAAAAGAUGAUGUAUUUUAAUAUCAUAAUGUCUUAAUACCAUACAUUUAUGUUUUCACCUCCAAAUUAAACUGAUCAAGAGAUAUCAGACAAAUACCAAAAGAACAAAAUACAUCACUGAUUUUUCAACCUCCAGCCUGUAAAAGCACGAUUCGCCCAACUAUCUGAAUAUUGAUUACUCUUUUUUUCUCCGUACAUAAAGAUCUCAGAUGGUUAUAGCCCAAUUACAAUUAAACACAUAAUCUGUCUGCUUAG